GAUGAACGCUGGCGGCGCGCCUAACACAUGCAAGUCGAACGAUUAAAGCACCUUCGGGCGUGUAUAAAGUGGCGAACGGCUGAGUAACACGUGGGCAACCUGCCCCUCUCAUUGGGAUAGCCACGGGAAACCGUGGAUAAUACCGAAUACUUCGAGACUUCCGCAUGGAAGACUCGAGAAAGCUCCGGCGGAGAGGGAUGGGCCCGCGGCCUGUUAGCUUGUUGGUGGGGUAACGGCCUACCAAGGCAAUGAUGGGUAGCUGGGUUGAGAGACCGACCAGCCAGAUUGGGACUGGGACACGGCCCAGACUCCUACGGGAGGCAGCAGUGGGGAAUCUUGCACAAUGGGCGAAAGCCUGAUGCAGCGACGCCGCGUGCGGGAUGAAGGCCUUCGGGUUGUAAACCGCUUUCAGCAGGGACGAGGCGAAAGUGACGGUACCUGCAGAAGAAGCCCCGGCUAACUACGUGCCAGCAGCCGCGGUAAUACGUAGGGGGCAAGCGUUAUCCGGAUUCAUUGGGCGUAAAGCGCUCGUAGGCGGUCUGUUAGGUCGGGAGUUAAAUCCGGGGGCUCAACCCCCGUUCGCUCCCGAUACCGGCAGACUUGAGUUUGGUAGGGGAAGGUGGAAUUCCUAGUGUAGCGGUGGAAUGCGCAGAUAUUAGGAAGAACACCAGUGGCGAAGGCGGCCUUCUGGGCCAUAACUGACGCUGAGGAGCGAAAGCUAGGGGAGCAAACAGG
Molecule: ribosomal RNA, 735 nt
Filed under: uncultured Atopobium sp.
Lineage: Bacteria; Bacillati; Actinomycetota; Coriobacteriia; Coriobacteriales; Atopobiaceae
Description: bacterial SSU rRNA
Rfam family: Bacterial small subunit ribosomal RNA
Source: RNAcentral